AUGAAACUUAUAUUGACUCUAUGCCAGUCAGAGGGGUUUGAGACAUUCCCAACUCUGCUUUGUGCAGAUGGAUACAUCAUGAUUGAUCAAAGAACGGGUGUUUAUGGAUAUCCUAUAGAGAUUCAAGCACUUUUCUUCAUGGCAUUAGUUCUCUACUCCAUAGCUUUCACAUAUCCAAGGUCCAGGAAAUGCUUAUCUGCUGGCAAUCACAAACAACAUCGCCUGGUAUGCCCUUUUCUUUGAAGAUUGAAUAUUGGUGGAAUUUGCUCUAUGGUUAUAUGCUGCAACUUCUGAAUGUGUUUGAAUAAGAAUAAGCGGAAUCGAGAUCAGCAUGACCAUUUAUCUUAGCUUCAGUUCUACUUUGGCAUAAUAUGAGAGAAGAACCUGUUAUUUACAUCAAUGGGAAACCAUUUGUUCUCCUUGAAGUUGAAAGACCGUACAAAAACAUGCGGGAAUACACGGUAAAAGUUACUUUUUAGUCUUUGGUAUCUCUUCAAUAAAACUUUAAGUUGAGAAAGUGGUAUUGCUAACUAGGAAUUGAAUUCAGAACAGUUUACUAUUCUAUUCUGUUUGGUGUGAAGGAGUAAAUUCGGUAAAGUUCAUAGGUGAUAUAAUAUAAAUUAACCAGUUAAGAGCCGAGAACUUGAGAUUUAAGUGUUAUAUUAACUAGGAAAUAGUUCAUGCAGGCUUUGUAUCUAUUAUUACUUUGAUAGUUGGUGUCCCACAUUACCAUUU
This is a long non-coding RNA of Vicia villosa (hairy vetch), 735 nucleotides long. RefSeq lists it as uncharacterized. The transcript has 3 exons. The record is from RefSeq and is a predicted model, not a curated record. Lineage: Eukaryota; Viridiplantae; Streptophyta; Magnoliopsida; Fabales; Fabaceae.